GAAAAUUACAUAAUAUAUUCAGCAAUCUCAAGGAAACAUUGUGGUUGAAAAGCUAAUGGAGAAGCUGACGGGGGUACACAGCUGGCUAACCUCACGGUAUCUCGGAAAUGGUGCAUGUCCACAAGAACAAAUAGUCACAGUCUGCGGCCGUGACAGGUCCUCUGAAGAAUCUGGCACUGAAGAGUCCAUUUCCGUCAGCGUUUCUCCAUCAAUCCCGCCCUGCGGCCCUUGGGGUCUCUGGGGACGCUGCCCUGGGGCUGUGGACGCCAGCCCUCGGGCACGGCACAGGGGGUGGCUCCACCCGGCGCCCCCUGAGUGCCCCCCGCCCUUCUCUCAGGAUGUCAAACCCACGGUUCCACGUGGCCUCUUGGUGGAGGACGCUGUUGGGAAAAAGCCCUUCCUUCCCUCUGAGAUGUGGGGUGGGUGCAAACGAGGGCUGAGCGUUCACCCCCGCGGCUGUGUCUCUGGCCUCUCACCUCUUCCUCUGGGGUGUGGACCCCACACACGAGGGUGUUGGCUUCCUGAUGGCCUGGGUUCUCUCCUAAGAUGCUCUUGGGGUCCCAGCUGGGUCACCCGCACAUGUAUUGAUGAAUACCUGUGAUGAAGCAGGAGGACGUUGGAUGUGAUAGGACGGUCUGAGAACAUGAAGGCUGAACAUCGGGGGAGCUUUUCCCACGCGCUGGACCCUGGACUUCACACUGAAAACACUAUUUCGUGUUGUGCUGUGACGUGGGCAUGAUCACCUCCAUUCUGGAGAUGAGGAAAUGUAGGUGGAGGAACGUCAAACUACUUGGGUAGGAAAGUAAAAUGAAGAGCCAGUCUGAGCAGCUGAGGCCACUGACUCUCCGGCCUGUGAGUUGAAGACUCGACCGUGUGGCAGGAGAGUUUGCUCAUACGGGGCUGUGUUCACCAGCAGCUCACCGCUCACCAGUGCAGUGCUCCAGUUCUGUGCAUUCGGUUGUGUGGAUUCAUUCCGCAAUUUCACGUGCCUCGUGGCGGAGGGCAUUCAGAAGGGCACAUGCAUUUUAAUCAGGUUUUUUUGCUGGAAGCCAGUAUUUUUUAGCUUGAUUUACAUUCCACAAUUUUCAGUCCUGUUGGGGAGACAGGCUUACAAAUACGGCUGCUCUAAGGAACAGUAAAAGAUUAUAUAUGUAGUUGUGCUGUGAGGUGUCUGCCCACCACAGGGGAGGCAGUAGAGCCGAGAGUAAGGAGAUGGCCCCUGCUGUAGCUGCCAAGCUUUAAAAGGUAGCAGAGAAAUGAUUUGACAUAGGAGGGGAGGUGGGUGUCAUCUUCAAGGAGUUCAUACACAGUGUUCACUCAGAUGGAUUCCAGAUGCAGCAUCUGUGUUUUGAGCAAAAUUUCCACAUGGGUGUCUAAUCAUUGCAUUCAGCAAAAACCAUUUUUUUUUUUUUGGCAAAGUUUUGAACAAAUCUAUGCAUAAAACCCUACUUGGUAGCUCCAGGAAAUGUGUGGGAGUUUUGCUCAAAGGACAAGCCAUGGUUUUAGCUGUUCUGACCUCCUGGGACAGUUGAUGGUUCCAUGGUCAAGACAUGAUUAUUCCACGUGGCCAAAGAAAACAGAACUUCAGACUCACCUUUAAGUUGUCUAAACGUGAAACUUGGCUGGAAAGAAUCAUGCUAGUUAAGGUCCAACCCAUGUCAUUUUGAGAAACAUCUGGCAAACCCAAAUGGGGUUCUUUCUGUCAAAAAAUCAAGUGCCCACGGCUCUUCAAGUCUCAAAGGAGACACAGAGCGGCCCUGAGGAAAUCACCCUGGUAUUCUCUUCCACCUGCUGUGUUCACUCAGCUUUGCUUCCCGAUUCAUCUACACGGGCACCUGGAGCCCUGUUCCCAUCCUUUCCCGCUGCUGGCCUGUUGGGUGGAUGGUCACGUUUGUUUCCUGCCUCCCUCUGCAUCGAUGCUGGACUCUUCCUCUCUUUCUGAAUACCAGUGGGGAUCUCUGUUUAUUCUGACUGUGCCCUGGUGUACCUUUGGGUGACAUUCUCGAGCAUGUAUGGCUGCAAGUGUAAUUGCUGGCUCUUAAGUAGGCAGAUAAUAAAAUUUUAAAGUGAUGUCA
RNAcentral lists this long non-coding RNA (2075 nucleotides) under Bos indicus x Bos taurus (hybrid cattle). Its description in RNAcentral is "lncRNA (ENSBIXG00005022530.1)". The record is from RNAcentral. Lineage: Eukaryota; Metazoa; Chordata; Mammalia; Artiodactyla; Bovidae.